UAAGCCAUUGGUGUUUUUGUUCAGGAAAUU
RNAcentral lists this non-coding RNA (30 nucleotides) under Rattus norvegicus (Norway rat). Lineage: Eukaryota; Metazoa; Chordata; Mammalia; Rodentia; Muridae. The record is from RNAcentral.